AGGACGAACGCUGGCGGCGUGCUUAACACAUGCAAGUCGAGCGGAAAGGCCCUUCGGGGUACUCGAGCGGCGAACGGGUGAGUAACACGUGAGCAACCUGCCCUUAGCUCCGGGAUAGCUCCGGGAAACCGGAAUUAAUACCGGAUACGACCACGGCCGACAUCUGCUGUGGUGGAAAGGAUUCCGGCUAAGGAUGGGCUCGCGGCCUAUCAGCUAGUUGGUGGAGUAACGGCCCACCAAGGCGACGACGGGUAGCCGGCCUGAGAGGGCGACCGGCCACACUGGGACUGAGACACGGCCCAGACUCCUACGGGAGGCAGCAGUGGGAAUAUUGCGCAAUGGGCGAAAGCCUGACGCAGCGACGCCGCGUGGGGGAUGAAGGCCUUCGGGUUGUAAACCCUUCAGCAGGGACGAAGCGAAAGUGACGGUACCUGCAGAAGAAGCGCCGGCUAACUACGUGCCAGCAGCCGC
RNAcentral lists this ribosomal RNA (471 nucleotides) under uncultured bacterium. RNAcentral describes it as "SSU rRNA". It matches the Rfam family "Bacterial small subunit ribosomal RNA", at positions 26 to 518 of the family's 1533-position model. The record is from RNAcentral.